UAAGGGCGCACGGUGGAUGCCUUGGCACUAGAAGCCGAUGAAGGACGUUACUAACGACGAUAUGCUUUGGGGAGCUGUAAGUAAGCUUUGAUCCAGAGAUUUCCGAAUGGGGAAACCCAGCAUGAGUUAUGUCAUGUUAUCGAUAUGUGAAUACAUAGCAUAUCAGAAGGCACACCCGGAGAACUGAAACAUCUUAGUACCCGGAGGAAGAGAAAGAAAAUUCGAUUCCCUUAGUAGCGGCGAGCGAAACGGGAAGAGCCCAAACCAACAAGCUUGCUUGUUGGGGUUGUAGGACACUCUAUACGGAGUUACAAAGGACGACAUUAGACGAAUCAUCUGGAAAGAUGAAUCAAAGAAGGUAAUAAUCCUGUAGUCGAAAAUGUUGUCUCUCUUGAGUGGAUCCUGAGUACGACGGAGCACGUGAAAUUCCGUCGGAAUCUGGGAGGACCAUCUCCUAAGGCUAAAUACUCUCUAGUGACCGAUAGUGAACCAGUACCGUGAGGGAAAGGUGAAAAGCACCCCGGGAGGGGAGUGAAAUAGAACCUGAAACCGUGUGCUUACAAGUAGUCAGAGCCCGUUAAUGGGUGAUGGCGUGCCUUUUGUAGAAUGAACCGGCGAGUUACGAUUUGAUGCAAGGUUAAGCAGUAAAUGUGGAGCCGUAGCGAAAGCGAGUCUGAAUAGGGCGUUUAGUAUUUGGUCGUAGACCCGAAACCAGGUGAUCUACCCUUGGUCAGGUUGAAGUUCAGGUAACACUGAAUGGAGGACCGAACCGACUUACGUUGAAAAGUGAGCGGAUGAACUGAGGGUAGCGGAGAAAUUCCAAUCGAACCUGGAGAUAGCUGGUUCUCUCCGAAAUAGCUUUAGGGCUAGCCUCAAGUGAUGAUUAUUGGAGGUAGAGCACUGUUUGGACGAGGGGCCCCUCUCGGGUUACCGAAUUCAGACAAACUCCGAAUGCCAAUUAAUUUAACUUGGGAGUCAGAACAUGGGUGAUAAGGUCCGUGUUCGAAAGGGAAACAGCCCAGACCACCAGCUAAGGUCCCAAAAUAUAUGUUAAGUGGAAAAGGAUGUGGCGUUGCCCAGACAACUAGGAUGUUGGCUUAGAAGCAGCCAUCAUUUAAAGAGUGCGUAAUAGCUCACUAGUCGAGUGACACUGCGCCGAAAAUGUACCGGGGCUAAACAUAUUACCGAAGCUGUGGAUUGUCCUUUGGACAAUGGUAGGAGAGCGUUCUAAGGGCGUUGAAGCAUGAUCGUAAGGACAUGUGGAGCGCUUAGAAGUGAGAAUGCCGGUGUGAGUAGCGAAAGACGGGUGAGAAUCCCGUCCACCGAUUGACUAAGGUUUCCAGAGGAAGGCUCGUCCGCUCUGGGUUAGUCGGGUCCUAAGCUGAGGCCGACAGGCGUAGGCGAUGGAUAACAGGUUGAUAUUCCUGUACCACCUAUAAUCGUUUUAAUCGAUGGGGGGACGCAGUAGGAUAGGCGAAGCGUGCGAUUGGAUUGCACGUCUAAGCAGUAAGGCUGAGUAUUAGGCAAAUCCGGUACUCGUUAAGGCUGAGCUGUGAUGGGGAGAAGACAUUGUGUCUUCGAGUCGUUGAUUUCACACUGCCGAGAAAAGCCUCUAGAUAGAAAAUAGGUGCCCGUACCGCAAACCGACACAGGUAGUCAAGAUGAGAAUUCUAAGGUGAGCGAGCGAACUCUCGUUAAGGAACUCGGCAAAAUGACCCCGUAACUUCGGGAGAAGGGGUGCUCUUUAGGGUUAACGCCCAGAAGAGCCGCAGUGAAUAGGCCCAAGCGACUGUUUAUCAAAAACACAGGUCUCUGCUAAACCGUAAGGUGAUGUAUAGGGGCUGACGCCUGCCCGGUGCUGGAAGGUUAAGAGGAGUGGUUAGCUUCUGCGAAGCUACGAAUCGAAGCCCCAGUAAACGGCGGCCGUAACUAUAACGGUCCUAAGGUAGCGAAAUUCCUUGUCGGGUAAGUUCCGACCCGCACGAAAGGCGUAACGAUUUGGGCACUGUCUCAACGAGAGACUCGGUGAAAUCAUAGUACCUGUGAAGAUGCAGGUUACCCGCGACAGGACGGAAAGACCCCGUGGAGCUUUACUGUAGCCUGAUAUUGAAAUUCGGCACAGCUUGUACAGGAUAGGUAGGAGCCUUUGAAACGUGAGCGCUAGCUUACGUGGAGGCGCUGGUGGGAUACUACCCUAGCUGUGUUGGCUUUCUAACCCGCACCACUUAUCGUGGUGGGAGACAGUGUCAGGCGGGCAGUUUGACUGGGGCGGUCGCCUCCUAAAAGGUAACGGAGGCGCUCAAAGGUUCCCUCAGAAUGGUUGGAAAUCAUUCAUAGAGUGUAAAGGCAUAAGGGAGCUUGACUGCGAGACCUACAAGUCGAGCAGGGUCGAAAGACGGACUUAGUGAUCCGGUGGUUCCGCAUGGAAGGGCCAUCGCUCAACGGAUAAAAGCUACCCCGGGGAUAACAGGCUUAUCUCCCCCAAGAGUUCACAUCGACGGGGAGGUUUGGCACCUCGAUGUCGGCUCAUCGCAUCCUGGGGCUGUAGUCGGUCCCAAGGGUUGGGCUGUUCGCCCAUUAAAGCGGUACGCGAGCUGGGUUCAGAACGUCGUGAGACAGUUCGGUCCCUAUCCGUCGUGGGCGUAGGAAAUUUGAGAGGAGCUGUCCUUAGUACGAGAGGACCGGGAUGGACAUACCUCUGGUGUACCAGUUGUCGUGCCAACGGCAUAGCUGGGUAGCUAUGUGUGGACGGGAUAAGUGCUGAAAGCAUCUAAGCAUGAAGCCCCCCUCAAGAUGAGAUUUCCCAACUUCGGUUAUAAGAUCCCU
RNAcentral lists this ribosomal RNA (2826 nucleotides) under Staphylococcus aureus. RNAcentral describes it as "partial 23S ribosomal RNA". It matches the Rfam family "Bacterial large subunit ribosomal RNA". The record is from RNAcentral. Lineage: Bacteria; Bacillati; Bacillota; Bacilli; Caryophanales; Staphylococcaceae.